Molecule: long non-coding RNA, 12505 nt
Filed under: Homo sapiens (human)
Lineage: Eukaryota; Metazoa; Chordata; Mammalia; Primates; Hominidae
Description: HSALNT0390968
Source: RNAcentral
AGAAGCGGAAACAGGAGCAGCAGCAGCAGCAGCAGCGGCAGGAGAGGCACACAGGAGCCAGAUCCUAAAGGCUUUGUAUGCCACAUUAGGAAAGAAUUUGGAAUACAGCUUCUGUUUGGAAAACAUUUUCUGUAACCAGCCCGACAGUAAGUAUCUUUAGGCCGCACGGUCUCUGUUACAGCUGCUCAACUCUGCCAUCAUAGGGAGAGCAGCCAUAGAUAAUACAUAAGUGAACAGACAUGACUCUGUUGCAUUAAAACUUAUUUAUGAGCCUGACAUGUGAAUUUCAUGUGAUUUUCAGGUUUCAUAAAAUCUUCUUUUGAUGUUUUUCCUCCCAUUUAAAAAUGUGAGAACUGUUCUAGCCCGUGGGCUGCAUAUAGACAGGGGGUGGCAGUAGUCUGCUAAGCCCUUCUAUGAUGUACACACAGGACCUCAAGGUGACAAGUCAGCUAGCUGAUCAGUUAAAAAAUGAAGCAGGGCAUUUUCCUACAGAUCUUUGGAAGUACUGACUGUCUUCUGGCUAUUUCCAGCUAAAUAACAAAUGCACAUGGGCCUAAAUUUUGUCAUUAGCUUGUUUGUAAUACUUACAAUGAAAUGGUAUGCUAAUUCAAAGGAAUAAAAAGCUUAUUUCAGGCCACUGUGGUGAAAUGACAUUUACCUAAUGCAGAUAUAAAUUUUGUGUUAAUUAGUGAGCACUUGACACUGAUGUAAUUUGAUUAGUGUGGCAAAGUCAGUCUUAAACUUGCUCCCUAGUACUAACAGAAUAUGUCUUUGAAUUAAGAAAAUUAGGGCUAAGUGACAAAAAGUACCAGAUAAUAAGAAACCAAGUCUGUACCAUUUAUAAUCAUCUGUUAUAAUAAAGAUAAUACUAAUGGCCUUAUCAUGUCAUUAUAAGAAGCAUGAAACAGGGCACUUCACACGUCGCAGUUUAGGUGACCUCACUGUCUCAGUUCCGAUUUGAUCUCAAGUCGGAUUCUAAAGUCUUCAAACUACUGGAAACCUCAUAUGUUUAAUUUGGAACUAUUUUCAAGCAAGAACUCUAAUAACAUUCCAGUUUUGAAGAAAUACUGUAUAUCACUUUUACUGACUUGUACAAAUGUUUUAUUUCAAAAAAAAACAAAACAACAAUCUAAGAGAAAAGUAGAGUAUUAACCAUUUGAAAUCUUAAAACCCGUGUUUUGGAUCUUUGAUGUGGCUGACUCUUCAUGAAUAAUUCUAGUUCUGUGAUUUGGAGAUGUUACUUAACUUUUCUUAGGAACAAAAAACUGAUGUCAAAAAGGAUUGUUUUGAAGGUUAAAUGAGGUGUUUGUAAAUAUAAUUACAUAAUUAUAUAGUACAGGCUCCAUCAAUGCUAGCUAUCAUUAACUUGAAAUGUCAUUACAAUCACCAUUUCAGUUUGUCUCUAAAUGUCCCACCAUAACACAGUUCUCUCGACUUUAAAAUACUUUCCUAUAAUUCUAGAACCAAAAGGAUCUAGAAAUUGCUCAGUCCAAUACUCUCAUUUUAUAAAUGGAUUAACUGACCAGAGUCACACAGGGAGAUAGUAGAGGCUGGUGUAAAAAGCGAGGGCUCUGGAGUCAGACAUGCGUGGUUCCGAAUCCUCAUUCCACCAGCUUACUGUGUCAAUCCAGGCACGUUACUUUCACAAGACCUCAAUUUCCUAAUUUAUAAAACGAUGAAAAAUGAGACAAUGCUCAUAAAGUCUGAGCACAGUGCCUAACAGUUGAUUUUUAAAAAAUCAACAAGUGUUCACUACUAUUAUUGAUCCUCAUCUUCUUAUUACGAAAUGGUAUUUCUUCCCUUUCUUUUUAGGAUGUAUAAUUGCUCCAGUGUUCAUUAUGAAUGUGACUUUUAUUUAAUUCAUACUGGCCAGACUAUAGCAGACUAUAUGAAAUAUUUAUUUUCCACAUCAGGCCAACUCUACCUCUCCUCCCUUUUUGUAUAUGACUCCUUUGUUAGUACAUCCCUCAAUUUAAAAUUACUUUGCAGUCUUCAAAUGCUUUCAUCUCUCCAACUCUGCUCCAUUGCUCCUUGGAACACAUAUGUGAAAAUCACAUGCUAAGUAUGUUUGCAAAAUACUUUGUUAAAAGAUUACACAGUAAGGAAUCAAAGAUGGUUUUUUGGGUUUCCUUUUUUUUUUUUUUUUUUUUUUUGAGAUUCCAGGCAGUUGCAGGCCAAUGAAAGUCACAGAAAGCACCCUUCCAAUUCAUUUGCUUCAGGAGGCUAAGGAAAUAACCUAUUUCCUCUUCCCUCUUUUCUAUCUGGUUUUUCUGAUGUGUUCCCAGAUCCUCAAAGAAAGAUUCAGAGAUCCAUGAAAUCUUAAUAUGCCUGUUUGAAGCCAGGAAAAAUAAAUAACAGUAUGCCAGUAUUUCAGACUGGGAAGAGAGUGUAUCAAUACUUGAGGGGGAAUUUGGUUCAGUCCUGAAAAUUACUAAGUCUUUCUUCCCUACUUAACAGGGAAGUAAUGUCAAAUGGUUGAAAUUUGCACGGAAUUCUACUAGCCUGGAGGGUGCUCCUGAAGUAAUCUUACAAACUUGGCAAUUAGUCCAGCAGCCUAAAUCUUUGUCUCUUGGUAGAUGAGUGGCAGCAAUUUUUGUUUUUUCCUACAGAACUUGUACUUGACAUCAGUUAGCCUAACUCAGACCCUGACCUUGCCUUUGUAUUUGGGGAAGAGUCUGAUCUUCAAGAUGGACCCAACCUCAAUAGAAACAAAGUAUGUGUGAAAGUUCUUACCCAACCCUUUUCUUAGUGUGUUCUAUUUCAUCUUUAAUGCAGAUCUUUAAUCUCAGACGUUCAUCAGAAAGGGGUAACAUCAAAUACUCCAAAUCUGAGCAACAUUCAACUCAUUUGUUGUUGUUCUGGGGUUUUGUUUUGGUUUUGGUUGAGACAGAGGUAAAAAGCCCAGAAAAGCCAUAGAGAGAAUUUUAAAUGCUGCUCUCCCACUAAUGGUUAUACCUUUUUUAUCAGCUUCUUCAUCUGAUUGGAUUAGAUUUAAAAUUUUCCUUUAGCCUUGGAUAUCUGACAAGAUUCUUUCAGUACAGUGAGACUUUCUCCAAGAAAAGGAAUCCACUUGAUUGGAUCAGAAACCACAACCUGCCUCUGGAAGUUAAACCUUUCAGUAGGUCAGGUCAUGAAUCAGGGGUGGUGGCAUUUUAUGAACCUUGCUUGGAUUCUUUGAUCUUGCCCCGUGACCCACACAGACCUGGUAAGGAGCUUCUUCUCAUUGACGGGGAUAGGGGAGUGGACUCUAUCUUCCACUUCUCUUGUCUUUCCUUCUCUCCACCUUGCCUCCUCUGCAUUUAACACAGUCUGCAGCACACAAACCAGGAGCAUGUACAGUGGUGUGCUCUUGCUCCCUAGAAUGUUUCACGGCUUCCAAGGCACUUUAUCUUUCUCCCUCUCUAAGUAUUCUGAAUGUGGCAUUUUGACCACUCAAUAUAGUUUAGAGACCCAUUGUAUAAGCCCGGCACAAACAAUCUAUAUUCUUACCAUUUAUUCCAAUGUUAGGGAAUCUUCUGAAAGAAAACAGAAUUUUGGUUAAGUUUGACCAGGGCAGUAGAUUAUAGCUCACAUGGCCACAGACAGUGAGACUACCAUUAAGAUUUGGUAGAUGCCCCAAGACCCAGGUCAAGCAACCAUAAUUAUCUGUCAAGUUCUCACCUAUACUCAAGUAGUUUUGGAAUGGUGCCUUCAGUUACGGACUUAACACUAGAUUUGAAACUUUUGACCUGGUUGUGUUUAAAAUUACCAAGUGAACAGGAAUUUGUUUUUUUCUGCUGGCAUUCUGUCUUGUAAAAAUAAGAAGAAGGGAAGGUAAUUAUAGGUACCUAACAUCAAAUUUAGUAAAAAUCACUGGAAAAAACCAGAAGUGUGAUUUAAUGAUCUGAGAAAUUAGGCAAGUGUCAAGUCUGAAGAAUUUUAAAAUGGUUAUAGGUCAAAGCAUUAAAAACUUCUUUGGGGACAGAGUGGCUAUAAGGAGAACACGGUGAGGUAUCUGCCAGGGGUUAAUUGCAACCCUGCAUGAAAAGCAGUUAACAAGUGAGAAUUAGAACACCCAAGAGGAAAAGAAAAAUGUUUCCAGUGCCAUGAGAAAUAAACAACAAAGAAGAAAUAUUUCCUUUGGCUACCACUACCUCCUUUUCAAAAGCUCAGAGGAGCUAUGGGGAAUGCCAAGGACUGGUUUUCUCUCAACUCCCUCUGAAACAUUUGUCUUCAUUACCACUCUUUUUAAUCAGGGCUCCUUCAUGAGUGUUUCUGCUCAGCCCCUAAGGGGCAGCUCUGGUCUGCGAUAAAUCAGAAUCCACACCGCAAGUCACUAAUCAGCACUCUCAGGGAAAGAAAAACAGAGAAGUGCAGACCACUACAGGCUGCAAAGGCCUGGAGGCUCACAGACCUCAAGGAAGAAAGGCCUUUAUGGAGAAAUAAAUUAAUGAAGAAGGAAGGGACCGAUGUUUAGGCUUUAUUUUAAAAUCUCAAAUGCAAAUUGUUCAUACUUAAUUAUGAGUUUGGAAUAUAAUUUCAUUUUAAGCGUAUAAAAUAUAUUAUGAAUUUAUUUAACGAAUUGUAAUUUAUACCCCUGGCUUAAUAAUUUUCAUACCUAAUUCAAAACUUAAUAAGCCCAAGGCAGAGGAACAGAGGAUAAAUUAAGAUAAUUAAAACUAUCAAAGUCAGGGAACCCUCUGUCAUACCUGCUGUUUCAGUGAUGUCAUUAGGAAAUGAAACUUUCCAAGUAAGAACUCUCUAAUGUCUAUGAUACGAGUGUUAUUUUUGUUAUUUUACUUAAAUGGAAUUAUAAUCAUAAAAUUACAAACACAUAGUAUUUUUUUUCAUUUUGAAACUCUCUUAGAAAUAACCUAAGAAAAAGUUAAAUAGACUUGUUAAAGGUCAACCUAGCUAGGUAGUGGCAGAGUUUACUCUAGAACCUAGGUCUCCAACAUCUUUUUUUUUCCCCCUUUUUGAGACAGAGUCUUGCUUUGUCUGCCAGACUGGAGUGCAGUGGCGCAAUCUCGGCUCACUGCAACCUCCGCCUCCCAGGUUCAAGUGAUUCUCCCACCUCAGCCUCCCAAGUAGCUGGAAUUACGGGUGCCCGCCACCAGGCCAGGCUAAUUUUUAUAUCUUUAGCAGAGACGGGGUUUUGCAUGUUGGCCAGGCUUGUCUCGAACUCCCGACCUCAAGUGAUCAGCCCGCCUUGGCCUCCCAAAGUGCUGGGAUUACAGGUGUGAGGCACCGCUCCUGGCCAAGACCAAUAUUUCUUGACGCUGACUUCAGGAGCUAGAACAGAACUGGUUGGAGCCCAGCUAAACUAAAAAGGUCAGUUUGAUUAGAGUGGGUGUGCUCCUAGAGGGGAUGUACAAGAAGCAUAGCUAGACUUUUUAAAUCUCCAUUCAAACAUUUGAACUUCCUGGUGUAAAAUGGGAUACAACUGAAGAUUCUUGAGAACAGGGAUGACAGGAUAAAAAGUAUUUGAGGAAGAAGAUUCUCACCAUAUUACGUAACAUAAACUGGGGGAGGUGGCAGGGUUAGAGAGGCUUAUGUUUGUGGGACCGAUUUGGUUACUUCUGCAGUGUCCCAGGCAAGAGGUAAUUAAGAAUCGGUUUUGUGGUUAUUCUAAUGAUUGGGGUCUUGGGUUGUAUUGUGGUUCUUUUGGAUACGAGAAUUAAUAAGAAAAUUGUACAGAUGAAUUUCUCAUAAUUAAUUGGGAAGAUAUUUUGCCAGUUUCUAUGGUGCUCUGGGAUUUAGAAUUGAGAGAAAUACUUGUGGAAUUAUUAUUAAGUAUUAAUAAGCAUGAGACGUAUAAAAAAGUGUUUACAGUAAAUUUAAAAUUAGUCACAUAAACUCAGUUAAGGUGAAAGUGGGUCUUUUACACAGCCAAGGGCAGCAAAGCCUUCUAUGUUUACAGAGCCAAAAGGAUGCCGAAGGCCCUGGAAGUUGAAAAUCAAGACUGGCUGCUGUAAAGCAGACCAUCUCAGACGUAUUCUCAUUCCUGACAAAUACCCACCCACCAGCAGGACUGGGAGACACAUGGCAACCAGAGCAAGUUGUCAAAACUUAUCAUUAUAAAACGUCCAUCUUACAAAAGUACAACCUUUGCUCAGUGCAGUGUUUUCCUUAGAAGACAGCUCUUCUGAGAGCUAUAAAAAGGUGGUUAGAAUGGGUGAGGUUAGCUCUCGUAGUCUAAGCUAACAAUCAUGUUAAAAAUGUAAAGGUGAAUAAUGAUGGCAGAAUGUUUUACAAACAAACAACAACAACAACAAAGAAAUUCAUUAAUUAUGUUCCUCUACUUCAAAGAAAUUCAUAAUUUUUAGCACUGCUCUUUUGAGAAAAGAAAAUUGCCUGUAAGAUCUCUGGCCCUUCUCCUUUAAUUUCCUUUCUUACUCCAUACCCUCAGGUGGCUAGCCUAGUGCUACAUGGCCUAGGCUACACAUAAAGUUCACAGCUCUUUGCCUGAUCUCCUGAUCCUCUAUCAAAACAGCACUUUCAAAAGUGUUUCCUGUCUAGCUCUGCCCUUGCGUGAGCGUUUCCUUGGCUGGAUCAGCUGCCAAACUAAAUCUCUCUGUUAGAAAACUGCGGAGAACUCAAUAUAGCCCUGUCCCCCUCUCCACCUUAGGCCUGACAUCCGGAAGUGACUUAGGAAGUAAUUUAAUGGUUACCAAAUUUUGGGGAACUGAUUUAAAUUUUCUGUGCUAACCAUGUGUUUAGGAGAGACUACAUCACUAAUCAUCACUUGACCUUGUGACAGACCAAAAGUUGCCGAUUUUUUUUUCCUGGGGGAAAAAAUUCUACCAGCUAGCACGAUGAUGUAAAUGCAAAAUCAUGUUGUGAGACGACUGCCAAUAUGCUGGUUUCCAGAUGUUUGACAGGACGAUGCAGAAACAAUACAAAAGAGGGCUAACAGUUUCUGUCACAAACUCUGCUGGGUUACUUGCUUUCUCUCUCUCCAUACUUUUUUUAUUUUAUAAGUGCUGGGGAUUGUGUAUAGCAGUCAAACGAUUCAAACGAUUUGGGAUAGAGAAGAACGGAAGGUUUGUCCAUUGCUUGUUAACCUCUGUCUUUGAAAACACAGAACAUUCUCCAAAUCUAUUAUUAUUACUCUGUUGAGCAAUAACUGCAGGGUGAUUUGUCUGAAUGUAUAUCUACUGGUGUCCCACCUUUCACUUAAAUAAGCCUGUACAUCAAACAAAUAAGAAAGGAACUGGAAUGGAGCUCUGCAUAUUUCACUAAGUCUCUCCUCUGCAUCUCAGCCGUAGAUGAAAUCUGAUUUAAGUCAAAGCCUAACACGGCCUAGGCUGUCCUCAUUGCAUGGGCUUCAUCUUCAUGUACUCAUCCUUGACUCACACUAUUCCUGGUGGAAGGCUUCCUAAAAGAAAACCAGAUUGAGUUGUCAGGUUUACAGUAUCAAGGAAUCUCUAAAAUGAAUGGGUUCUUUAAAAGAAAAGCCAAACUUUGGGUAAUUACAUUCAAACUCCUUAAUCACAUUUUCUGAGCUCAAUGGGAAUUGUGGUGUUCUUUGCUGAAUGUCUUCCCCAAAGCCACACAAAUGCAAUACAGUCUUCCUUCAGAGGAAGGCAUCCAACAGAAUGACUCCUGCUUGGCAGAAUGUUAAUUUCAAGUAUGUACUCCUUAAGUUUUCUUUUUUCACACAGAAGCAGUAUGUAUGCAUUCGUGUGUAUAUGUAUUAUUUUUUUUUAUAUCACCCAACUAACUUUGUAGCCCCCUUCCUCCCUAUUCCACUCCCCCAAAAACAGAAAAACAGGAUAUAGAGGAUCUGAGGAGUAAUUUUCAAGCAUACAGUUUACCAAUGAUGACAGACAUUAUUGAAGUUUGGUAAUAUUUCCUUCUUUCCCACCUCUGGGCAUACAAGAUAGCUGUACUUCCCCAUCCUCUUAAAGUUCUAGCCUGGUAGUCUGCAACAGAACUUUCUACGAUGAUAAAAAUGUUCUAAACCUUGUACUGUCUAAUAUGAUAAUGUGGCUAGUGCAACUGAGAAAAUGAAUUAUACAUUUUAUCUUCAUUAUUUUAAAUCUAAAUUUAAAAAAAUACAGCUAGUGGCUAUUGUAUUGGACAGCACAAUUAUAGCUCAUGAGUUGUAAGCAGAAGUGACCACCAUGAGAUGUCCAGUGUCCCCUUAUCCCUGCUCACUCACACAUCACAUCAGUAAUAUAAAACCCUCACUUACACGAGAAAACACUCUUAUAUUUAUAAACCUAAUGGUUACCUAGAAUAACUCAGUGGUGAAGCCUUCGCUAACCUGGCUCCUUGAAUGGAGAUAACAUGGAAUAGAGACCCCUCAAUCUGCGACGGACAAUAUUCAGCAAUAAUUUAGCCAGAAAAGUCACUAAAUGUACAAGAAAGAAAAUAGAGAAGUACUGAUACUUGCGAAGACCAAAUAUUACCCAUGAAAAUGUCAAGAAGCUCCUACUGCAUGUGUGUAGCUGGUAGUGAAGUGGAAGAGAUGCAGCUGCUGAGAUGUAUCCUUUUUUUUCUCUCUUUUUUCUUUUGUUUAUGUUUCGAGAUGUAUCCUAAUUUAAAUGCAAUCUAAAACUUAAGUGCCUGUGACGAAGGGUGUAUAACCUUGGGCGUUCUACUACCCGCUUGGAAAAAUAACCCAGAAAGAAAUCUUAACACAUUUUGUAUUCUUGUUACCAUGUAAGACAUUCCUGUAUUCAAAGUAGUAAUGAUACGGUUGUAAUAUUUUUCCCACAAAGAAAAAUCCCCUAGUCGUGAAAGAGUUAAGAGAGACCAAAAUUAGACACAGUUCAUGUUAAAGGUUACAAGAAUAAUCAGUCAUUUGAAAAACACUACAUAAACAUUUUUCCGGAUGCAAUUUUCAGUCCAAGGAUACAUUUCCCAGUAGAAAUCAGCAGCUAAAAAGGAAAUCAUUUCGUCUCCAUAAGUGCCAAAUUGUAUCCUGAUUUUUCCUGGUCUGGCUCAACUUUCAAAACUAGUGGUUCAACUUCUGCAAUCUUUCACCCAAUGACUAUAUAAACACAUCUUUAUAAAACAGACAUAAUCCUUGGGUGGGCCAAUUUAUGUUGGAUUAUGAAAAUACUUAAAAUACAAAAUCAUAUAAUGACUAUUGUCCUUCGGUUUUUCACUAAAAGGAAAGAAAAACCUAUUUAACAUAGGCAGUGGUUCACGUGCGAUAACAUGACACAUAUACACUGCUCUUUUUUUCUAAUGUCUCUGAAAAUAAGUAUCACUGACAAUUCAGUAAAGGAUUGCCUCACAUUUUCUCAAGGUGAUAUGUAAAUUCAGAAUUUGCAAAUAUACUUCUGAUGUACCCACAUGCCACAACGCACACACAAUUCUAAUGAAUUAAACUGCUCACAACGGGCAAGGAAAAAUUCUCACCCUUGGAAGUAUUUUGGAUCUUCUGUAUUCGGUCAGAGGUUAUAGAAACAUUAGUUUUAAGGAUAAAGUAAUCUUAAGUAAAAAGCAAAAGAUUCAUUCACAAUUUAUUACUGCUUCCAAUUCACAUACAUUUCACAUUACUCAGAAUUCCCAAUAACACAAUUCAAGUAGAAUCUCAACUCCAUAGCUAGAAGAAAUCGUAAAUUUUAAAUCUUUGUGGAAAGGUAAACUCUGUUUUUUCACUUCUUCCUUGAAAUUCUACAGCUUUUAUAAGUCAACUACAAAAGGUAUCAUGAAAAGCCUAUCUUCAGCAUUUAGCAUGAGGAGGGGAAGAAUUUUAACUUUUCCUCUAAUGGAUAAAGUUACGUAAAAGAAGACAUUUUGGAAGUCUUUGGAGAAUGCAGUAUAAAUCAUAGCUGUAAGAUCUGGAAAAGUCUGGUUGAACAUUAAGAGAUUUCCACAUCUGUAUCUAUACAUUCCCAUCUUGGGAAUAGUGUAUGUCCAAAACCAUUCACAGAAAAAUGUUGUAAAGUACUCUGUUGGUGAGCAAAACUUAAGAGUUGCAAUCACAAACAUUUCAUUUUCAUCAUAGAUUAUUGAUAAUUACACAAUCAAAUAUCCAUAAAAUUAUAUUGAUAAAAAUUUUUUUUGUCAAUAUUCUAAAAGCCAUAACAAAGCAAUGAAUUUAAAAUAGCUUAUUUCUAGGAACUUUUUAUAGUUUAUAGCAUAACUCUAUGAAUAAUUUUCUGAUGCCUAGAUUAGUCCUUCAUCCUUGCUCUGAGAAAACAAAUAUGUCAUUGAAGCAAUAUGACCACACUAUAAGAAAGGACACAGAAUAAUGCACAUUUUCUUUCACAGGCUGAGAGAGGCUGAUGAAUGUUACACUUCUCUAAUUCACAAAAUUUAUCUGAAUACAAGGACAUAUUAGGAAAGCAUUUUCGUGUUCAAGUGAGUAGCUCUGCCCAAACCAGUAUGAAGUAUUUAAUUAAAUAUUUUCGUUUAGCUAUAAUGGCAACAUAAAACUUUUAAGUAUUUGCCAAAAUUAGAAAAUCUCUAGUUCUUCUGAAAAAUAUACACAUACCUAGACAUUCAAAACUAAAAAUUAAAGGUUGAUUAUUUAAAUCUAUCUUUUUAGUUCAAAUAUUUUGCAUUCCUUUCUGAUUUAAAACACUCUCCUAUGAAAGCCACCAUUAUUUAUAAGUGAAGAAAGAAAAGGGAAUUUGUCUUACAUCUCCCCACUCCUCACUUUGCCAUUGUCACCUGUAUCUAUUUCCAGGAAGCCAAUAUUCAUUAGGGUUAAUCUGCCUACUAAAUGAAUAAACAAAGGAUUUCUCUGUCACUAAGAGGCCAGGUGAGCCGAUAGCAUCUUCUAACACAGAAAAUCAUCUGUACCAUACAGCUCAGGAAAUUACCUGCUGCAAUCCCACACCUGGGAUCACUUGGCAGGCAGACCCAUAAUGCUGAGUAAUAUAUGGAAAAUGAACUAUAACCAUUUUUUCAAAGGGCUGACAAAUCUCUCAUAUUUCAAAACUGAAAAACAGUUUAAUAUGAUUAACUACAUAACUCACUAGGGAAAAAUAGUGAAAAAAUAUCAAGAAAUGCUUCCACAUUUUUCCCCUAAACAAUAACAGGGUAUGUAAGAAAUGAUGCCAAAAUACUAACAUGCAGUGAAAUAUGAAUAACUGGUACAAGAAUGCCAAUACUUCUAUGGAUCUCUACGAUCUUAAAAAUAAGAACAGUUCUACAAUAGAAUGUAGUUAACAAACUAAAUAAAAAGAUGCAUUGUUAUAUUAUAAUCCCUACUUUUAUAGACUGACAAAUUCAGAUCAAGUAAAAGCUAUAUCUUGGUGGCUCGAGAUACCAGGAAAAGAACCCAAGGGCAAUUAUUUGUUAAUAGAUUAAUGGUAUUAUCACUUCAUGUUUCAUUUUGUGGAGGAGAAUCCCAGGUUUUAUUGUCCUGUAGAAAUAAUUUUUCCAGCUAAAGAAGCCAAUAGGAAACCAUUGGUGUUAAAUAAACAAACACAAAAUGAGUAAAAGAAAUGAGAUCAAAGAUAUCUGACUUCCCUCCAAAUGUUAAAUAAUAAAAACAUAUAUAUGUAUAUAUAUAUAUCUCUCUCCUAGAUACAAGUUUGAAAUAACAUUUGAUAGCUGAAAACCAUGUAGUAUAAGCACAUAAAAGAACUGAUUUGAUUAGAACUGGUUUGAAGAUCAAUUUGAUUAGACACAUGAGACUAUGGCAACAAAACUCAUUCACAAAACAUGAAAACAAAUAGUGAUUAGUGGUCAUUCUUCUCUCAAAAUUAUGUUCAGUUCUACAGAAGGUCUUGGGUGUCACAGAGAAUGAAAUAAAACUAAAUAUGUCAGCAUAUAUGCCAAUGAGAAUCAACCAAUAUGCACAGGAUUUAUUUCUUUAUUCAACUUUUAAUAAUAUGUUUGCAGAGAAAAAGGAGCCAAACUAUUAAUACUGGGCAGAUUACGGAUCACUUUACAGAGGCACUACAAGUAGAGAAUUAAAAGACUUAGGUCUUCUGGGACUGAGUACCCCCACUCCCCCCCAAUAAAAAUUAAAAUAGGAAAAAAAAAAGACUUAGAAAAAGGGUUAGUCAACAUUUAAUGACUGCCCACUCCAUGUAAGGCCCCAUACCAAAUAGGGCUGGGUUUGCUCAAGGGUGAUAAAAAACAGAUAGGGUCUUUGUCUAUAGUAUAUAUUAUCAUUAUUAUUUUUGAAAAUCCUUUCUUAGCUUCACAGGGGUUCCCUGGUUGUUUUUAUACUGAAUAUGUCCGAGUUAUAUCAAAUACUACAAAACUAUUGAGAGGUGUGUCCAUCUGGGGGAACAGCGAUAUUGGCAGGGAAGCAGUGGAGGUGUGGGGCACCAGGUCACAUAUAUGCUGCACCUAAGGAAAUGUAGUGUAGAGAGAAAUUAAAGAAGACUUACCCAGUGGCUGGGUGUGGUGGAUCAUGCCUGUAAUCCUAGCACCUUGGGAGGCCAAGGUGGGUGGGUCACCUAAGGUCAGGAGUUGGAGACCAGCCUAGCCAACACAGUGAAACCCCGUCUCUACCAAAAGUACAAAAAAUCAGUUGGACAUGGUGGUGGGCGCCUGUAGUCCCAGCUACUUGGGAGGCUGAAGCAGGAGAAUCACUUAAACCAGGGAG